UUUUUUUUUUUUUUUUUUUUGCCCAAAAAUAAAAAAACGCUUUUUUGGGAUGAGACAUAAAUAUAUAAGUAUUAUAUAUUUAUGUGUUAAAUACACAGUGGACCAAGUAUAGAAGGGGCAGGCAAGUUGAUCACUGUACUCUACAAGGCACAUCAACCAAUAGUGUAAGAAGGGGCAGGCAAGUUGAUCACUGUACUCUUGAUCUUCGUCAUCAUAUUGAUGCUGUUAGUUAUUCCCUGUGAGCCUAUUCCACUGUCCUUCAGACCCUGAAAUGGAAAAUGAUCAGGUCCACGAGCUGGUGCUGAAUUGAUCUGCACUGUUCCUGUCUCCAUAGCAUCACUGAUCAAAAUUGCUUUGUUUAUAUCUCUUGUAAAGACACAUCCCUGAAGACCAUAAUUGCUAGCAUUACAGUGGUGGAUUCCCUCUUCAACAGAGUUUAUCCUUAUAACUGGUAAAACUGGACCAAAAGGCUCCUCCCAGGCUAUCCUCAUGUCAGGUCGAACGUUAUCUAACAACAAUGGCCAUAUGAGAUUGCCCUCUCUUAUGUACUCCUGACAGAAUGUUGCUCCUUUUUGCUUGGCAUCCAUUACCAACCCUUCAAUAAAGUUUGCUGAGGAUUCUGUAACAACUGGAGUAAUAUCACAGUCGUCCUCAGGUGGUCCAACUGUCAAUUUUGUGACUUUGGCUUUAACUUUCUCGACAAGAAUAUCAGCAACCGAUUCAAUAACUAGAACAACCUUGACAGCCGUACACCUUUGACCGCUGUAUGAGAAGCCUCCUUUAACAAUAUUUGCGGCAGCUAAAUCCAAAUCAGCAUCUUCUAAAAUGAUACAAGCGUCUUUG
This 843-nucleotide unclassified non-coding RNA is filed under the name Hevea brasiliensis (rubber tree). The record is from RNAcentral. Lineage: Eukaryota; Viridiplantae; Streptophyta; Magnoliopsida; Malpighiales; Euphorbiaceae.